GAAUAUUCUUGAUGGGUUGUAGCUGGCUCUUCGGGGCAUGUGCACGCUUGUCUUGACUCUAUUCAUCCACCUGUGCACCUUUUGUAGUCUUGGGGGUUGAGAUCAGUCGACUAUCGGAGGGCUAUAUAGCCUUUCCGGAUGUGAGGAAUGCUGAGUGCGAAAGCAUACAGCUCUUCUCUAAUGACUUGUAAAACCUCUCCCUCGAGUACUAUGUAUUCAUAUACCACAUAGUAUGUUGUAGAAUGUGAUCAAUGGGUCUAUGUACCUAUAAUAAUCAUAUACAACUUUUAGCAACGGAUCUCUUGGCUCU
This 310-nucleotide unclassified non-coding RNA is filed under the name rhizosphere metagenome. RNAcentral's name for it is "partial ribosomal RNA internal transcribed spacer region". The record is from RNAcentral.